AGAGAGAGACAUGCGCGCAUAUCAAUAAGCGGAGGAAAAGAAACUAACAAGGAUUCCCUUAGUAACGGCGAGUGAAGCGGGAAGAGCUCAAAUUUGAAAUCUUCAAGGUUUUACCUUGACGGAAUUGUAGUUUAAAGAAGUGUUUUCUGCUGAAGUUUUGGUAAAAGUUCUUUGGAAUAGGACAUCAUAGAGGGUGAGAAUCCCGUAUUUGACCAUUAUUUUCAGCUUUGUGAUACACUUUCAACGAGUCGGAUUGUUUGGGAAUGCAGUCCAAAAUGGGUGGUAAAUUUCAUCUAAAGCUAAAUAUUGGCGAGAGACCGAUAGCGAACAAGUACCGUGAGGGAAAGAUGAAAAGAACUUUGAAAAGAGAGUUAAACAGUACGUGAAAUUGUCAAAAGGGAAGCGUUUGACACCAGUGUUGUUUUCUCGAAAAUCAAUUAAAAAUGGCUCGAUUUUGUAUUGCUGAGACCUUAAAAGCUCACUGUACAUUUUUCGUGUCUUUUUUAAUGCACUUUUCGUUUAACAAGUCAACAUCAGUUUCUUUUGUUGUAAAAGGGUCAUUGGAAGGUGGCUUUCUUUUCGGAGAAAGUGUUUAUAGCCUUUGGCCUCUGCAAUCGAAGAGACUGAGGUCUGCAGCGUAGACUCUUCGGGGUUAGAUACAUUUGUGCUAAGUUAUAGCUUUUUAUAGACAACUUGUUGACUAUAAUUAGUCUUGUAGCUUACUCGCUUAUGCUAUUUUACCUACGCUUAGGAUGUUGAAGAUGUAGCACAUCAU
Molecule: ribosomal RNA, 775 nt
Filed under: uncultured Neocallimastigales
Lineage: Eukaryota; Fungi; Neocallimastigomycota; Neocallimastigomycetes; Neocallimastigales
Description: partial large subunit ribosomal RNA
Rfam family: Eukaryotic large subunit ribosomal RNA
Source: RNAcentral